This is a long non-coding RNA of Triticum aestivum (bread wheat), 3752 nucleotides long. RefSeq lists it as uncharacterized. The transcript is spliced from 7 exons. The record is from RefSeq and is a predicted model, not a curated record. NCBI's taxonomy places the organism in Eukaryota, Viridiplantae, Streptophyta, Magnoliopsida, Poales, Poaceae.
CCCCGCGCCCCCCCCCCCCCGCCUCCUCUCCUGCCGCUGCCGCCGCCGGAGAAGCUCGCCUCCCCGCGUCCUCUUCUCCAGCACAACCUCGCCGCCGCCUCCUUCCUUCUGUUCUCUCCUCGAAGAGCCAGCGCGUGGACUGGUCGUGCUGGCCGGGAUCUGAACGUGGAAAAGGAGACCCCAGAGGAAGUCAACGUUCUGAUGGGGGCUCGAUUGAUGCCGCCGACGGCGAGCGCCGGUGAGCGACGGGGCGGCCGGCAGCUCUCCUGACCUCCUUCUAGGUUGCCGGUCUGGAGUGGGAGGGACGAACGCCGGCGAGGCCAACCUCCCCUUUACACGCAGAUCUGGCAUGGAAGAGAAGAAACCCAAGGUUAAUUAUGAGGUCAGGGUACCCUUUCACUGACAUGACUGUAGAUGCCUGCAGGAGGGCAGCAACGGAAUAAAUGUACUGAAAGUAGGUGGUUAUCAGAGAUGCUGAAUUCAUGCUCAGUGCUGAUAACUUCGCUGCAGAUCAGAGCUGAGCAGAUACACAGAAUGUUCUUGAGCUUAGACACACAGAUCCUUGGGAAACAUAGGUAUGGCUAUUCUCUUGCGUCCUGUUCAGUUUCAUGUUUCUUGGAUCGUCUUUUCCGCACGUUCAACUUCAAGCUCCAAUCAUGGGUUUUGUCAACUGGGAGUGUGUGCACUAAGCCAGGGGCGACCAGGAACUCUCACACUAACAGGGUUCUAUCAAGAUUCCCUGUUUUUGUCCAUGAAAUUGGUGUGAUGAGUCAAACUCUUUUGUUCUGUACCAUCCUUACUAGACAUUCGUUUGCAACUGAACCUAGAAGAAAUUUAAUUCACUGGUCAAUUUUGUAUCUAUGGCAUUGAAUUGGUUUUCUGAAUUUUGUUAGCUCAGAGAUUGUACACUAAGGCAGGGUGACCAAAAACUCACACCGACAGUGUUCCAUCGAGAUUUCUUGUUUCUGUCCAUGAAAUUUGUGAGAUAGGUGAAAUUCUUCUGUUUUGUACGCUCUUACUAGACAUUUUUUUCUUACCGUACCCCCAAAUGCAAAUCUAUACUGAAACAGUAAUACAAGAAACUUAAGAAUGAAUCCAUACAUGAUACUGUUCUGAAAAUGAAAAUUCCUAAUAUGGAGACGCUUGAGUUUGAACCUUAAACCCCAUACCUGAAUAUAAAAAUGGAUAUCGAUAUUUCUCAUGAAUCAUUUUUAUACUAACUGCACACAAUAGCACUGAUGGGAACAAUGUUGCUGAUUUACAAAUUGUGCACGCAACACAUGUGCUAUUUUGUUUGCUUAUUUUUGUCGGGUAGCAUACUGCGUACAUAUUCUGCAGCCCACAAGACUAUCAGCUACAGACAAGUUGGUUGGUAUAUUAGCACUGAAAUCUCGGAGAUGGAGAUAUGAUGCAUCUCAAAGGCCCAUUGUUGUUCUGCUAAAAUGUAAGUCCUCAUUCCACAGAUACAUAGGCUGAACGACUCGAAUGUGCAUGUUGUCGUUUAUCACACUUAUGGUGUUGUAAUUGGUUUCCCCAUUUGCUACACCUGGAAGUAUCCCUCCGGUCACAACGGUGAGACAUAUCCCAUAUAUUUCCCUUUGUUACUUCUAAUUCUUUGUUUCAGAUGCUACGCUGCUCGUUCAUGGAUAUACUCUGUUUGGACUGGGGAGUGCGCCGUUGCGCCGUCUUUAUUUGUGAAAAAGGUCUUCUGUCAAGGCGGCCGUGUUCUCAGAGCUCCUUAUUUGGAUCUUUGUGGAUGGGUGAGCCUAUUUGCUUGCUGCCUUGCUGGUGUUGGAGACCUGUGGUUACUCUGUUUACUGAAACAAAGAAAAAUAUACGAGUAUCAUGUGCCAAGCAUUUCCUACUUCACCUUUGCUAGCAGGGGAAAUUGCGAUGCUUAUUACGAAUUGUUGCAAGAAAGUAUUUCAUCUGUUUUGGUGUAAGGAUGCUGCUUUUUAGUAUGAUACCCAUAUCUUAGUGGCUUGGAGCAGCAAGCAUAAAAAAAUACUAGCAUUCCUAAAUGGGCAUCCAAUUUUAGAAAGCACACUUAAGAAACAUGCACACGUGUCUUUAGAUCCUAUGGAGCAUUCCUAAUAAUGACCAUCUAUUUAACUAUCUUGGAUCAUUACCAUUAAAAAAUACAGCAUGGCAUUCAUAAUGUUCAGUUAUUCAUAAAUGUGGCAUUUAAUUCUUCUCCUGGCAUGAUAUUUAAGCAUGUUGCAUAUACCAAUCUGUUGAUAAUUCAAUUAUUGAUUCUGAUGUACAAACAGGCAAAACCAUUGCCUGUUUGGAUGAUGCACAUGAGUAUGUUUUUGUUAGUUUUCGGUGAUGUACGUCGUGAAGCGGGACGGGCAGACGGAGACGGUGCACUUCGACAAGAUCACGGUGCGGCUCAAGAAGCUCAGCUAUGGGCUCAUCCAGGAGCACUGUGACCCCGUGCUCGUCGCGCAGAAGGUCUGCGUAGAAUGUCUGCGUCAGGGUAUACAUGGGCGUCACCACCAGCCAGCUCGACGAGCUCGCCGCCGAGACCGUCGCCGAGCUCACCGCCUCCCAGCCUGACUAUGCCUCCCUCGCGGCGAGGAUUGCUGUGUCUAACCUGCCGCCAAGUGGAAAUAGUCUGUGUGGCGCCCGUAAAUAGAGAACAUUUUGGUAGAAAGGUACAGGAAAGAAUAGGGAAACUUCUGUCAUUUUCUUUGGUCUUUGGAAAAUAAAUGGUGAUAUGGGCUGAUACAUUGCUAAAUUACAUGAUACGGACUCACUUCUCUUUUUUGAUUUUCGGUUUACUUCGUUGUGCUACAAUGGCUCUCCUAGGAAUGUUCUUCCAUGAUUUGAUGUGCACAAUCCAGAAAGUGCAUGCAUCCAGAAACCAAAUAGGAUUUUUUAUGAGUUAUCUUCUCAUAAAUCUUGUGCUCGUCCAAUAAGAAUAAGGUUUGGUCGUGUUGCUUUUGUCUGUCACCCGGUAGAUUUCAGACUUCAAGCUAGCUGCAGUUAUUUCAGGUUAUAUGUGCAAAUCCUUGGUGUGACAUAAUUGGUAACUGACCAUGAAUACGUUGCAAUCUGGUAUGUCUAAUUCUUGAUUUAUGUGGUACCAUGGUCUAAAAAUUGGUCCUAAAGAUACAUGAUGUUUUUGUACAAAGUUGAGACCGUUAUUUUGGAACGGAGGGAGUAUCAGAUUACUUUGUUCCUUUUUAAUUUGGUUCUAAAGAUAUAAUUUUAGAGUGAUCGUUUUGCAUCAGCCAAGCUUGCCGUUAUUACAAAUAAUUGUUCUAUUGUCCUCAAUUCACUUUCUUGGUUUUUUAAUGCUACGAGCAUUAUUGUUCCAGUUCUUUUUAGUUAUUGAUCAUGCCAUUUUUCUUUCUGCCUUUGUAGCUGAAAGAUUAGUGAGACUGACUGAAUUCUGAACAUGUUUCAUGUGAGAGAAAUAGCAUGUUGAUUUCAUCUUGAAAUAAUCAUAGCUGAGGGACGAGGUUCGUAACUGAGGGUCAUCUGCAGAGCUGGAGAAAGAAGUUGCGAGGCUUGGAACUCUCCUUGUGAAGGGCUCAGGACAACAGUGAGGAUAAUGCCUCUUUAGUUGUAAUUGUGAUACUCCUGAUGUGCAAGUAAACACUCCUGUGAUACUCCUUAUGCUAAAAUGUUGGUUGUUAGUAUAGAGGUGGUGACAUUAUUUGGUUCUUUGGUAUUGAUUUCAUGAUUUGUGGUUAAUACCUGAUGUAAUACAAUCCACAUUGCAUUAUAUUUCCAGUUACAUUUCC